Molecule: ribosomal RNA, 318 nt
Filed under: uncultured bacterium
Lineage: Bacteria
Description: bacterial SSU rRNA
Rfam family: Bacterial small subunit ribosomal RNA
Source: RNAcentral
UAGAGUUUGAUCCUGGCUCAGAACGAACGCUGGCGGCAGGCCUAACACAUGCAAGUCGAACGCUCUUUUCGGAGAGAGUGGCGCACGGGUGAGUAACGCGUGGGAAUCUACCCUUUGGUUCGGAAUAACCCUGGGAAACUAGGGCUAACACCGGAUAAGCCCCUGGUCGUGAGAUUGGGGGGAAAGUUUACGCCGAAGGAGGAGCCCGCGUCCGAUUAGCUAGUUGGUGAGGUAAGAGCUCACCAAGGCUACGAUCGGUAGCUGGUCUGAGAGGACGAUCAGCCACACUGGGACUGAGACACGGCCCAGACUCCUACG